GGUGGGAGAGGGAGAGGGAGUGGGGGUGGGGAAGUUGGUUCCAUGUACGUACUCAUACUUUGAUUUGUGGCACACUUGCCAAAUAGGUUGGACACCACUGAUUCCUAGCGUAACCUGAUGUGUUAUGUUGUAUCAAAUCAUGGUAGUGCCUCUGAAAUUCUGUCACCAAGUCUUGAAUAUCCAGUUAGGUUAUGAAUUCACCUUAAAAUACUUUGAGGGUACAGAUAAAGACUGGACAAGCAGGGUUUGUUUUUGUUUUCUCCCAGACUUGUUGCUAGUUAUAUCUUUUGGGGUCAAUCCAUUGUGUUAACAAAACACAUUGUCAUAUCUGUCAGUUGAAGUUACACUUUUCUGUUCUUGUCUAAUGUUCUGUCGCUUACAAGUAUGUAACCGUACAUAAUUCAGUCAUGGAACUCCUGAGCCAAAUCUGUCCCCAAAGUUGUUUUUCUGUGACAGAUUCCACUCCUUUUUAUGUUUUGUUUUGUUUUGGUCCACUUUCUCUAUACUGGAAGGACUCUAUGUUGUGGGUUGUUUUUUUUAAAUAAAACAAUUACUUAGCAUUGCUUUGCUUCAGUUUGAAGUGUAACUUUCACUAAUAACUGCAAUAAAUACGCUUUUGCUCC
Molecule: non-coding RNA, 623 nt
Organism: Podarcis lilfordi (Lilford's wall lizard)
Lineage: Eukaryota; Metazoa; Chordata; Lepidosauria; Squamata; Lacertidae
Source: the annotation of a GenBank genome assembly